UAGAAGGCUACAAGAAUAUCCACUCUCCUGUAUUGUCUGUGGGGGAACAAUCGUCUUUGAAGGAAGCAGCUGUAGGAAUCAUAGUGGUUGUUCUGAUUCUCAUCCUCUGUCUCUCUGGCUUCAUGUGGUUCAGGAAGAAGGCCUCCAAAUCCACGUUUGACACACAAGACAGGAGAGACACAGUAGAGAAUGGACAGAGAGACUCUAAUCCAGUGUAUGACAACAUCUCAGGCAUGGCCAUGGCCCCUACUGCAGCACAGAGACCGAUCACAGACGAGCAGGAUGACGUUACCUACGCCAGCAUCCAACACAGAAACCAGGAAGUGCCUCUGUACUCCA
Coregonus clupeaformis (lake whitefish) is the source of this 339-nucleotide long non-coding RNA. RefSeq lists it as uncharacterized. The record is from RefSeq and is a predicted model, not a curated record. The transcript is spliced from 3 exons. Lineage: Eukaryota; Metazoa; Chordata; Actinopteri; Salmoniformes; Salmonidae.